UGUUUGAUGUUCUAACGUGGACCCGUGAUCCGGGUUGCGGACAGUGUCUGGUGGGUAGUUUGACUGGGGCGGUCUCCUCCUAAAGAGUAACGGAGGAGCACGAAGGUUGGCUAAUCCUGGUCGGACAUCAGGAGGUUAGUGCAAUGGCAUAAGCCAGCUUGACUGCGAGCGUGACGGCGCGAGCAGGUGCGAAAGCAGGUCAUAGUGAUCCGGUGGUUCUGAAUGGAAGGGCCAUCGCUCAACGGAUAAAAGGUACUCCGGGGAUAACAGGCUGAUACCGCCCAAGAGUUCAUAUCGACGGCGGUGUUUGGCACCUCGAUGUCGGCUCAUCACAUCCUGGGGCUGAAGUAGGUCCCAAGGGUAUGGCUGUUCGCCAUUUAAAGUGGUACGCGAGCUGGGUUUAGAACGUCGUGAGACAGUUCGGUCCCUAUCUGCCGUGGGCGCUGGAGAACUGAGGGGGGCUGCUCCUAGUACGAGAGGACCGGAGUGGACGCAUCACUGGUGUUCGGGUUGUCAUGCCAAUGGCACUGCCCGGUAGCUAAAUGCGGAAGAGAUAAGUGCUGAAAGCAUCUAAGCACGAAACUUGCCCCGAGAUGAGUUCUCCCUGACCCUUUAAGGGUCCUGAAG
This 627-nucleotide ribosomal RNA is filed under the name Shigella sonnei. Its description in RNAcentral is "partial 23S ribosomal RNA". It matches the Rfam family "Bacterial large subunit ribosomal RNA", at positions 2211 to 2833 of the family's 2925-position model. The record is from RNAcentral. Lineage: Bacteria; Pseudomonadati; Pseudomonadota; Gammaproteobacteria; Enterobacterales; Enterobacteriaceae.